This 279-nucleotide ribosomal RNA is filed under the name uncultured bacterium. RNAcentral's name for it is "partial 16S ribosomal RNA". It matches the Rfam family "Bacterial small subunit ribosomal RNA", at positions 506 to 784 of the family's 1533-position model. The record is from RNAcentral.
UGCCAGCCGCCGCGGUAAUACGGGGGGUGCAAGCGUUGUCCGGAAUUACUGGGCGUAAAGGGCGUGUAGGCGGCCUGGUCAGUCAGAUGUGAAAGCCCACGGCUUAACCGUGGAACUGCAUUUGAAACUGCCAGGCUUGAGUGUGAGAUGGGGUAGCGGAAUUCCCAGUGUAGCGGUGAAAUGCGUAGAUAUUGGGAAGAACACCAGUAGCGAAGGCGGCUUUCUGGACCGAUACUGACGCUGAGACGCGAAAGCGUGGGGAGCAAACAGGAUUAGAUA